This 490-nucleotide ribosomal RNA is filed under the name uncultured bacterium. Its description in RNAcentral is "partial 16S ribosomal RNA". It matches the Rfam family "Bacterial small subunit ribosomal RNA", at positions 28 to 507 of the family's 1533-position model. The record is from RNAcentral.
GAUGAACGCUGGCUACAGGCUUAACACAUGCAAGUCGAGGGGAAACGACGGGGAAGCUUGCUUCCCCGGGCGUCGACCGGCGCACGGGUGAGUAACGCGUAUCCAACCUGCCUCUGACUGAGGGAUAACCCGUCGAAAGUCGGCCUAAUACCUCAUGGCAUCGUCUGCGGGCAUCCAACGACGAUUAAAGAUUUCAUCGGUCAGAGAUGGGGAUGCGUCUGAUUAGCUUGUUGGCGGGGUAACGGCCCACCAAGGCGACGAUCAGUAGGGGUUUGGGGAGGAGGGCCCCCAAAAUUGAAACUAGGACACGACCAAAACUCGAACGGGAGGCAGGGGGGAGGAAAAUUGGUCAUGGGCGAGAGCCUGAACCAGCCAAGUAGCGUGCAGGAUGACGGCCCUAUGGGUUGUAAACUGCUUUUAUGCGGGGAUAAAGUGAGGGACGUGUCCUUCAUUGCAGGUACCGCAUGAAUAAGGACCGGCUAAUUCCGUG